AGUGAACGCUGGCGGUAGGCCUAACACAUGCAAGUCGAACGGCGGCACAGUAAGAGCUUGCUCUUACGGGUGGCGAGUGGCGGACGGGUGAGGAAUACAUCGGAAUCUACUUUUUCGUGGGGGAUAACGUAGGGAAACUUACGCUAAUACCGCAUACGACCUACGAGUGAAAGCAGGGGAUCUUCGGACCUUGCGCGAUUGAAUGAGCCGAUGUCGGAUUAGCUAGUUGGCGGGGUAAAGGCCCACCAAGGCGACGAUCCGUAGCUGGUCUGAGAGGAUGAUCAGCCACACUGGAACUGAGACACGGUCCAGACUCCUACGGGAGGCAGCAGUGGGGAAUAUUGGACAAUGGGCGCAAGCCUGAUCCAGCCAUACCGCGUGGGUGAAGAAGGCCUUCGGGUUGUAAAGCCCUUUUGUUGGGAAAGAAAAGCAGCAGGCUAAUACCCCGCUGUUCUGACGGUACCCAAAGAAUAAGCACCGGCUAACUUCGUG
RNAcentral lists this ribosomal RNA (492 nucleotides) under uncultured bacterium. RNAcentral's name for it is "partial 16S ribosomal RNA". It matches the Rfam family "Bacterial small subunit ribosomal RNA", at positions 29 to 507 of the family's 1533-position model. The record is from RNAcentral.